AGCGUUCAGAGAUGGGAAUCGAACUCAUAGUGUUCCGCUUACCGGGCAGAUGCCAUGUCCACUAGGCUACCCUGGGC
This 77-nucleotide transfer RNA is filed under the name Cordylochernes scorpioides. RNAcentral's name for it is "tRNA-Thr". Lineage: Eukaryota; Metazoa; Arthropoda; Arachnida; Pseudoscorpiones; Chernetidae. The record is from RNAcentral.